UUGCUCGCUUCGGCAGCACAUAUACUAAAGUUGGAAUGAUACAGAGAAGAUUAGCAUGGCCCCUG
Molecule: small nuclear RNA, 65 nt
Filed under: Pteropus alecto (black flying fox)
Lineage: Eukaryota; Metazoa; Chordata; Mammalia; Chiroptera; Pteropodidae
Source: RNAcentral